AGUUUGAUCAUGGCUCAGAUUGAACGCUGGCGGCAUGCCUUACACAUGCAAGUCGAACGGUAACGGGCCUUCGGGUGCCGACGAGUGGCGAACGGGUGAGUAAUGUAUCGGAACGUACCUUUCAGUGGAGGAUAACGUAGCGAAAGUUACGCUAAUACCGCAUAUUCUGUGAGCAGGAAAGCAGGGGAUCGCAAGACCUUGCGCUGAUUGAGCGGCCGAUAUCAGAUUAGCUAGUUGGUGAGGUAAAGGCUCACCAAGGCGACGAUCUGUAGCGGGUCUGAGAGGAUGAUCCGCCACACUGGAACUGAGACACGGUCCAGACUCCUACGGGAGGCAGCAGUGGGGAAUUUUGGACAAUGGGGGCAACCCUGAUCCAGCCAUGCCGCGUGAGUGAAGAAGGCCUUCGGGUUGUAAAGCUCUUUCGGCCGGGAAGAAAUCGUAUGGGUUAAUACCCUGUGCGGAUGACGGUACCGGCAUAAGAAGCACCGGCUAACUACGUG
Molecule: ribosomal RNA, 500 nt
Filed under: uncultured bacterium
Lineage: Bacteria
Description: bacterial SSU rRNA
Rfam family: Bacterial small subunit ribosomal RNA
Source: RNAcentral